RNAcentral lists this ribosomal RNA (301 nucleotides) under uncultured bacterium. RNAcentral's name for it is "partial 16S ribosomal RNA". It matches the Rfam family "Bacterial small subunit ribosomal RNA", at positions 509 to 809 of the family's 1533-position model. The record is from RNAcentral.
CAGUAGCCACGGUAAGACGGAGGGUGCUAGCGUUGUUCGGAAUCACUGGGCGUAAAGGGCGCGUAGGCGGCCUGUUAAGUCGGAUGUGAAAGCCCGGGGCUCAACCCCGGAACUGCAUCCGAGACUGGCAGGCUUGAGACCGGGAGAGGAGGGUGGAAUAUCCAGUGUAGAGGUGAAAUUCGUAGAUAUUGGAUGGAACACCGGUGGCGAAAGCGGCUCUCUGGCCCGGAUCUGACGCUGAGGCGCGAAAGCGUGGGGAGCAAACAGGAUUAGAUACCCGUGUAGUCCCUGUCUCUUAUAA